RNAcentral lists this ribosomal RNA (435 nucleotides) under uncultured bacterium. Its description in RNAcentral is "bacterial SSU rRNA". It matches the Rfam family "Bacterial small subunit ribosomal RNA", at positions 29 to 507 of the family's 1533-position model. The record is from RNAcentral.
AAUGAACGUUGGCGGCGUGGAUUAGGCAUGCAAGUCGAGCGCUCAUAGCAAUAUGGGAGCGGCGGACGGGUGAGUAACGCGUGGGAACGUACCCUUUGCUACGGAAUAGCCCCGGGAAACUGGGAGUAAUACCGUAUGUGCCCUCUGGGGGAAAGAUUUAUCGGCAAAGGAUCGGCCCGCGUUGGAUUAGGUAGUUGGUGGGGUAACGGCCUACCAAGCCGACGAUCCAUAGCUGGUUUGAGAGGAUGAUCAGCCACACUGGGACUGAGACACGGCCCAGACUCCUACGGGAGGCAGCAGUGGGGAAUCUUAGACAAUGGGGGCAACCCUGAUCUAGCCAUGCCGCGUGAGUGAUGAAGGCCCUAGGGUUGUAAAGCUCUUUCAGCUGGGAAGAUAAUGACGGUACCAGCAGAAGAAGCCCCGGCUAACUCCGUG